UGUACCUUUAAUGUAGUCCAGUGAGGCUAAAAAGGGACAUAUUUUGUCGUGUCUGUUAAUAUGACCUUUGCCCAGGGCGAAGGUCUUUUUUUGU
Regulatory RNA element from Megasphaera sp., 94 nucleotides. It matches the Rfam family "PyrR binding site". From Rfam's summary of the family: This family represents the PyrR binding site and terminator structure. NCBI's taxonomy places the organism in Bacteria, Bacillati, Bacillota, Negativicutes, Veillonellales, Veillonellaceae. The record is from Rfam.